RNAcentral lists this ribosomal RNA (254 nucleotides) under uncultured bacterium. RNAcentral describes it as "partial 16S ribosomal RNA". It matches the Rfam family "Bacterial small subunit ribosomal RNA", at positions 524 to 776 of the family's 1533-position model. The record is from RNAcentral.
GACAGAGGGUGCAAACGUUGUUCGGAAUUACUGGGCAUAAAGAGCACGUAGGUGGUCUGCUAAGUCACAUGUGAAAUACCCCAGCUCAACCGGGGAACUGCGUGUGAUACUGGCGGGCUCGAGGUCGGUAGGGGUGAGCGGAACUCCAGGUGGAGCGGUGAAAUGCGUAGAUAUCUGGAGGAAUACCGGUGGCGAAGGCGGCAUCCUGGACCAUUUACUGACGCUGAGGCGCGAAAGCUAGGGGAGCAAACGGG